RNAcentral lists this Y RNA (110 nucleotides) under Canis lupus familiaris (dog). RNAcentral's name for it is "Y RNA (multiple genes)". It matches the Rfam family "Y RNA". Rfam says of the family: Y RNAs are components of the Ro ribonucleoprotein particle (Ro RNP), in association with Ro60 and La proteins. The Y RNAs and Ro60 and La proteins are well conserved, but the function of the Ro RNP is not known. The record is from Rfam by way of RNAcentral. RNAcentral also lists the same sequence under 1 other name. Lineage: Eukaryota; Metazoa; Chordata; Mammalia; Carnivora; Canidae.
UGCUGGUCUGAGGGUAGUGGGUUAUCAGAACUUAUUAACAUUAGUGUCACUAACAUCGGCAUACAACCCCCCACCCCUGUCCCCCCCCUGCUAAAUUUGACUGGCUUUAA